RNAcentral lists this long non-coding RNA (574 nucleotides) under Crocodylus porosus (Australian saltwater crocodile). Its description in RNAcentral is "lncRNA (ENSCPRG00005001391.1)". The record is from RNAcentral. Lineage: Eukaryota; Metazoa; Chordata; Crocodylia; Crocodylidae.
GCAGGUUCACCUUUCCUCCUCACCAUACCUAUUAUUUCCUUUUUUCUGCCUCUAGGCAAGUCCUUGUUUAGUGCACCAGAGGCGCAGAAGACAAGUCAGAAGGCAAGUCUCUGAGUGACCGAAAGAAAGAACCAUGCACUUCCCCAGGCACAACACGGUCUGGGCUAUACAACGUACAGUUCAACACAGUCAUAACUCUUUUCAGGAGUGGGACUUCCAUAAGUUCCAUUGUUAAAGGCUUUCCUCCUGCUUUAAAAAAUGUAUUUUAAAAAGCAGACUUGUGUUAUUCUGACAGUUUUUACUAAAAACAAAAAGGAUCAUCAAUGUAGACCAGUGGCCCUCAACGUUUACUGGCCCAUGGGCAACAAUACUGAACAAGUAGCACAUUGCAGGCUGUACUACAUGAAUGGAGUUGCCCCGAGACAAAGAAGUUUGAAGCAAUAACCUGGAGGUAUCUGCCUUGGGGAAAUGGUGUGCACACAAACAGCUAUUGCAGAAGAUGUUAUCUUUAUCCAGGAAGAAAAAUUACCCUGGCUGAAACCCAGGUAAAAUGUCCAUGUUGGGGCACUUUUAC